GACGAACGCUGGCGGCGUGCUUAACACAUGCAAGUCGAACGGUAAGGCCCCUUCGGGGGUACACGAGUGGCGAACGGGUGAGUAACACGUGAGCAACCUGCCCUUGACUCUGGAAUAACAGCUGGAAACAGCUGCUAAUACCGGAUAUGACCUCAGACGACAUCGUCUUGAGGUGGAAAGCUCCGGCGGUCAAGGAUGGGCUCGCGGCCUAUCAGCUAGUUGGUGAGGUAACGGCUCACCAAGGCUUCGACGGGUAGCCGGCCUGAGAGGGCGACCGGCCACACUGGGACUGAGAUACGGCCCAGACUCCUACGGGAGGCAGCAGUGGGGAAUAUUGCACAAUGGGCGAAAGCCUGAUGCAGCAACGCCGCGUGCGGGAUGACGGCCUUCGGGUUGUAAACCGCUUUCAGUUCCGACGAAGCGCAAGUGACGGUAGGAACAGAAGAAGGACCGGCCAACUACGUGCCAGCAGCCGCGGUGAUACGUAGGGUCCGAGCGUUGUCCGGAAUUAUUGGGCGUAAAGGGCUUGUAGGCGGUCUGUCACGUCGGAAGUGAAAACUCAGAGCUCAACUCUGAGCCUGCUUCCGAUACGGGCAGACUAGAGGGAUGCAGGGGAGAACGGAAUUCCUGGUGGAGCGGUGGAAUGCGCAGAUAUCAGGAGGAACACCGGUGGCGAAGGCGGUUCUCUGGGCAUUACCUGACGCUGAGAAGCGAAAGCGUGGGGGAGCAAACAGGCUUAGAUACCCUGGUAGUCCACGCCGUAAACGGUGGGCACUAGGUGUGGGGGACAUUCCACGUUCUCCGUGCCGAAGCUAACACAUUAAGUGCCCCGCCUGGGGAGUACGGCCGCAAGGCUAAAACUCAAAGGAAUUGACGGGGGCCCGCACAAGCGGCGGAGCAUGCGGAUUAAUUCGAUGCAACGCGAAGAACCUUACCUGGGUUUGACAUAUGCCGGAAAGCUGCAGAGAUGUAGCCCCCGCAAGGUCGGUAUACAGGUGGUGCAUGGCUGUCGUCAGCUCGUGUCGUGAGAUGUUGGGUUAAGUCCCGCAACGAGCGCAACCCUCGUCCUAUGUUGCCAGCGGAUAAUGCCGGGGACUCAUAGGAGACUGCCGGGGUCAACUCGGAGGAAGGUGGGGAUGACGUCAAGUCAUCAUGCCCCUUAAGUCCAGGGCUUCACGCAUGCUACAAUGGCUGGUACAAAGGGCUGCAAAACCGCAAGGUCAAGCGAAUCCCAAAAAGCCAGUCUCAGUUCGGAUUGGGGUCUGCAACUCGACCCCAUGAAGUCGGAGUCGCUAGUAAUCGCAGAUCAGCAACGCUGCGGUGAAUACGUUCCCGGGCCU
RNAcentral lists this ribosomal RNA (1340 nucleotides) under uncultured bacterium. RNAcentral's name for it is "bacterial SSU rRNA". It matches the Rfam family "Bacterial small subunit ribosomal RNA", at positions 28 to 1381 of the family's 1533-position model. The record is from RNAcentral.